AUUGAACGCUGGCGGCAUGCCUUACACAUGCAAGUCGAACGGCAGCACGGGUGCUUGCACCUGGUGGCGAGCGGCGAACGGGUGAGUAAUACAUCGGAACAUGUCCUGUAGUGGGGGAUAGCCCGGCGAAAGCCGGAUUAAUACCGCAUACGAUCCACGGAUGAAAGCGGGGGACCUUCGGGCCUCGCGCUAUAGGGUUGGCCGAUGGCUGAUUAGCUAGUUGGUGGGGUAAAGGCCUACCAAGGCGACGAUCAGUAGCUGGUCUGAGAGGACGACCAGCCACACUGGGACUGAGACACGGCCCAGACUCCUACGGGAGGCAGCAGUGGGGAAUUUUGGACAAUGGGUGAAAGCCUGAUCCAGCAAUGCCGCGUGUGUGAAGAAGGCCUUCGGGUUGUAAAGCACUUUUGUCCGGAAAGAAAUCCUUGGCUCUAAUACAGUCGGGGGAUGACGGUACCGGAAGAAUAAGCACCGGCUAACUACGUG
This 486-nucleotide ribosomal RNA is filed under the name uncultured bacterium. RNAcentral describes it as "partial 16S ribosomal RNA". It matches the Rfam family "Bacterial small subunit ribosomal RNA", at positions 30 to 507 of the family's 1533-position model. The record is from RNAcentral.